This 80-nucleotide transfer RNA is filed under the name Stegodyphus mimosarum. It matches the Rfam family "tRNA". From Rfam's summary of the family: Transfer RNA (tRNA) molecules are approximately 80 nucleotides in length. Their secondary structure includes four short double-helical elements and three loops (D, anti-codon, and T loops). Lineage: Eukaryota; Metazoa; Arthropoda; Arachnida; Araneae; Eresidae. The record is from Rfam by way of RNAcentral.
GCUUUCGUGGUGUAAUGGUCAGCAGUCAGCACACUGAGCCGGUAUUUCAGAGGUCCGUGGUUCGAUUCCCGGCGAAGGCG